This 1087-nucleotide long non-coding RNA is filed under the name Homo sapiens (human). RNAcentral's name for it is "long intergenic non-protein coding RNA 305". Lineage: Eukaryota; Metazoa; Chordata; Mammalia; Primates; Hominidae. The record is from RNAcentral.
ACUUCAGUUCAACAGCCAUCUGAAGCCCACCUGUGAGCUGGUCCAGGAAAUGAUGGACUCUGAUUUCCACACCCCUUUCCUGUGAACUUGUCUCCAAUUUAGUCUGUCAAGGUCCCUUUCUUGUGAGUUAAUUUCUCCCUAGUGCUACUUCUCAGAUUGGCCAGUGACUCACAGAGUGGCACAAGUACAAAUCCAGCCUGCCUUGCAUCCAACACAGAUUCCAGGACCACUGAAACCAGCUGAGGCAUCCUGAAAGCCUAAGAUUGACCACACCAGAGGAACCAGACUGCCCUUCACAAGGAAACCUGGCGUGGAAACACAUUGCUUCCCUAACACUUUCCUGAAGGAGCUUGGACGACUUGACUCAGGCAGGUUGAGAGACCAGAAAGCCAUCCAGAGAGAGCAGGGACCCAGCCAUCCACCACCUGGUUCUACUCCCACCCUAAGGAUGGAAAUUAUCUGGUUCCACCCCUGGAUAUGAUCAACCUUCAUAGACUGUGCAUUAUACAUGUAGCCAUCUCUGCGACCUGCAAAGAUGAAAAGGGAAAGCAGGAGAUGGAAACUGGUCAGCAGCCUUCUGGUUUAUCAGCCACACUUACAAAGGUCAAAUGUGCAAAGCGUCAGAAGACAGUGGUUAGAGUGAGAUUCUACAUGCUCUCAAUGAAGAAUAAAGCAUGCAGGAAGAACCUUUCAAAAGGUUACAACCAGAGACCUGAAGGAAGCAAGGAAGAAAGCCACAUGGUUGUCAAAGAGAAGAGGAAAGGAGAUCACUAAGCUGGAUGACGUUUUCUGUUUCUUUGAAAACAGAGAAGAUGACAAGUUAGGGAGAGAUCAGAGGUCAUACUGUGAAGCACCUUUGGAUAAACGGCAGGGACUUUGGAUUUUCUUUUUGAAUAUAAGCAUAAUCCAUUGAAAGGUCUCAUGCAGGGAAGUGGCAAAACACUUUUAAAAUUUUUCAUCUUUUCUUUCUGAAGCAGAGUUCACUCUCCAUUUAUUUGUCUUCUUUGAUAUCUCUCAAUAGAAUGUUGCAGUUUUAGUAUUCUCCUAUUAAACAUUUGUUUAACUUUCUUGUUCUUCUAAAUAAUAA